AUCUGUGCGCUCUCCGGGACAAGUCGCUGGAUGUGACGGUGGUUUUGUUUGUCUGCCGGACCAAUUGCCCACUUUCCGUUCCUAGGAUCCCAUCCGAAAGGACCACCACCGAGAUUCCCGUGCCCGUGUUUUCAUUCGGCCAGCCAAUGGACACAAACACUUUCCCCACCAACCGCCCGAAGAUUUGGCGAUUCGAAUGGGAAUUUGCCGAUCAUCCAUUGCUUGCCGUAAUGUAUUGCAGGAAAUAUUAAACCGGAUUCUAGUUGGUCAAGUCGUCUCGUUAUAUCAAAAUAGUUGAACGUUAUAAAUUUAUGUAUAUCGUCAAAGAUAUUGAUUGACCUACGUAAUAUCUUCGGUAGUUAGUGAAUUAGCCAUCGCAAAUUGAUUGCGUAAAUUCCACAAACCAGCUUACUAGGUACCUAGUUUGCAAGGGCG
Molecule: small RNA, 435 nt
Filed under: Histoplasma capsulatum
Lineage: Eukaryota; Fungi; Ascomycota; Eurotiomycetes; Onygenales; Ajellomycetaceae
Also listed under: 1 other name
Description: hypothetical RNA
Source: RNAcentral